CACAGUUGAUCUGCUGUGGACAAAUGAAGUGAAUAUGAGUAUCAAUUCCACCAGCUGUUACAAUCAGGUUUUCACCUGCCAGAGCUUCUGUAGAUGCUCCAACUAUCAUUCCUUUCGUUACUCCAUCCAUAAUACUUGGGUUACCUGCUUUUCCUAUCCCUUUGAUCUUUCCAUCCUUAAUCCCUAUAUCCGCUUUGAUGAUUCCUGUAUAAUCCAGGAUCAGCGCAUUGGUAAUGACCAGAUCCAGAUCCCCAUCUGCACUUGUCGUCUUGACCGAUUGACCCAUACCAUCACGAAUG
This is a small RNA of Anaerostipes sp. 992a, 299 nucleotides long. It matches the Rfam family "5' ureB small RNA". NCBI's taxonomy places the organism in Bacteria, Bacillati, Bacillota, Clostridia, Lachnospirales, Lachnospiraceae. The record is from Rfam.